Long non-coding RNA from Syngnathus typhle (broad-nosed pipefish), 268 nucleotides. RefSeq lists it as uncharacterized. The transcript has 3 exons. The record is from RefSeq and is a predicted model, not a curated record. Lineage: Eukaryota; Metazoa; Chordata; Actinopteri; Syngnathiformes; Syngnathidae.
AGGAUGAUAACUCCUCUUGACAAUGGCCGGUAAACAAGAGUGUCUCUCUCCGCAGCGAGCCGCCAUCUGAUUGAACUUCAUUGAAAAUUGGAGAAAACGUGGUGUUUGUACAAGAUUAUUUAUAUCCGAGGAUGCGGCGAAAAGCCGCCACUGUCACGAAGAGACGGCUGGGCUCACUUUCGGCCGCGAGGUGCAAAUGUUUGAAAAGAGGCUUCUUCCAAGGCCGGGAAAUCACUUAGAUGUUUUUGUGAAGCCUCCUCUGCAUCUA